GCAUGGUAGAACUAUUAAAGAAUUUCGGUCAUCGAUGGGGAUGCGUUCCAUUAGGUUGUUGGCGGGGUAACGGCCCACCAAGCCUUCGAUGGAUAGGGGUUCUGAGAGGAAGGUCCCCCACAUUGGAACUGAGACACGGUCCAAACUCCUACGGGAGGCAGCAGUGAGGAAUAUUGGUCAAUGGACGAGAGUCUGAACCAGCCAAGUAGCGUGAAGGAUGACUGCCCUAUGGGUUGUAAACUUCUUUUAUACGGGAAUAAAGUGAGGCACGUGUGCCUUUUUGUAUGUACCGUAUGAAUAAGGAUCGGCUAACUCCGUGCCAGCAGCCGCGGUAAUACGGAGGAUCCGAGCGUUAUCCGGAUUUAUUGGGUUUAAAGGGAGCGUAGGCGGACGCUUAAGUCAGUUGUGAAAGUUUGCGGCUCAACCGUAAAAUUGCAGUUGAUACUGGGUGUCUUGAGUACAGUAGAGGCAGGCGGAAUUCGUGGUGUAGCGGUGAAAUGCUUAGACAUCACGAAGAACUCCGAUUGCGAAGGCAGCUUGCUGGACUGUAACUGACGCUGAUGCUCGAAAGUGUGGGUAUCAAACAGGAUUAGAUACCCUGGUAGUCCACACAGUAAACGAUGAAUACUCGCUGUUUGCGAUAUACAGUAAGCGGCC
RNAcentral lists this ribosomal RNA (657 nucleotides) under uncultured bacterium. Its description in RNAcentral is "bacterial SSU rRNA". It matches the Rfam family "Bacterial small subunit ribosomal RNA", at positions 188 to 848 of the family's 1533-position model. The record is from RNAcentral.